This 250-nucleotide ribosomal RNA is filed under the name uncultured Campylobacter sp. RNAcentral's name for it is "partial 16S ribosomal RNA". It matches the Rfam family "Bacterial small subunit ribosomal RNA", at positions 103 to 356 of the family's 1533-position model. The record is from RNAcentral. Lineage: Bacteria; Pseudomonadati; Campylobacterota; Epsilonproteobacteria; Campylobacterales; Campylobacteraceae.
CGGGUGAGUAAUGUAUAGUUAAUCUGCCCCAUAGUGGAGGACAACAGUUAGAAAUGACUGCUAAUACUCCAUACUCCUUCUUAUCAUAAGUUAAGUCGGGAAAGUUUUUCGCUAUGGGAUGAGACUAUAUCGUAUCAGCUAGUUGGUAAGGUAAUGGCUUACCAAGGCUAUGACGCGUAACUGGUCUGAGAGGAUGAUCAGUCACAUUGGAACUGAGACACGGUCCAAACUCCUACGGGAGGCAGCAGCG